Molecule: long non-coding RNA, 1188 nt
Organism: Serinus canaria (Common canary)
Lineage: Eukaryota; Metazoa; Chordata; Aves; Passeriformes; Fringillidae
Exons: 2
Source: RefSeq, a predicted model, not a curated record
GACACACAGUGUGAGGCACACGGGGCCCUGCACCCCAAAAACCCCAGAUCCAGGGCAGCCGAUCAGGGCGCUUGCACCCCCGCGCUGUUCCACUAGAGGGUUGUGGCGCUGCUGGAAAACCCGGAGCGGCCAGGGAAGCGGGGAAAGGAGAGUUGGGAAAGGCCGGGCCAGCUCGGCUGCUCCACGUCAGACCUCUCGCUCGGCUCCUGGGUGUGAGCCAAGGAGGCGGUGGCGAGAUUACAGCCCUGGGAUCUCUGUGAUCGGGAGAUUAGCGCCUGCCUGCUGCCUGAAGGCUCCCCGAAAAUGUCUGGGAGAAGGUCUGUCACUCCCUGAUUACCAGGGGAACACAAGUCACAGACAAACAUUCCAGCUACAUUACAGCUCCCAAGUACAGCCACUCCUGGCCUUUAAAUUCCUUUUUGUCCCCAGAAGCUAAAGCUGCCAGGGAAGAUGGGUGAGAAGCCAGCAGCUCGUGAGCUGAGUGCUGAGCAGUUCCAGUUUGGGGCUUUGUGGUUGUUUUUAUCUCCUGAGAAGCUCCAGUUUGGGCGUUUGUGGAGGUUUUUAUCCCCCACUAGUAAUAACUUAUCAUGAGGGUCCUCAAUCCCUGUAAUUUUUAUCUCUGGAAUAUUCCUAGGCUGUGAUAUUAUUUAAAAUAAAAGAUACACAAUCAGCUGCUCCAUCCCUGAAGUUUUUUGUCCCCUGUGCCCAAGGGGACCUAUGUGGGGACUUGAUCUUCAGAGAGAAGAAUCAGUUCCUGGACUAAUCUUUUACUUUAGGCAGAACAAAAUCUGGGGGUUAAUUUUGUAUUUUCUUAACUCUCACAAGGCCAAUUCAGGUUUUACCAACCCCGGUGAUGGGGUCUGUCACAGAUUCCUUUGGGAAGGGGACACAAUGAAGGAUUUGCCCUACAAGAAAUGAAUCCACGUCCCCUUUGAGCAGCCCCACCAGGUGUUGCUGCCUCACCUGUACCUGGGCUGGAUUUAAAUCCAUGACCCAGAGGCACCAGUACAGGGCGAGGGCUUGAGCAACUCACCCGGCAUCUUUGGAAACACAAAGGAAUUGUUCCAACAGGAAUCUCAGCAGAUUGCUCAGAGGAACAGCUGUGCCAAGGUUCCCCGUGCUGCUCCCUUACCAGGUUGUGGAUGAUGUUGGUGAGGGUCCAGACCACGGGGACGCUGAAGAAGGGGA